RNAcentral lists this ribosomal RNA (256 nucleotides) under uncultured bacterium. Its description in RNAcentral is "partial 16S ribosomal RNA". It matches the Rfam family "Bacterial small subunit ribosomal RNA", at positions 524 to 776 of the family's 1533-position model. The record is from RNAcentral.
UACGUAGGGGCCGAGCGUUGUCCGGAGUUACUGGGCGUAAAGCGCGCGCAGGCGGCGGUCCGCGCCCCGGCGUGAAAGCCCCCGGCUCAACCCGGGGGAGGGUCGUCGGGGACGGGGCCGCUUGAGGACGGCAGGGGCAGGUGGAAUUCCCGGUGUAGUGGUGAAAUGCGUAGAGAUCGGGAGGAACACCCGUGGCGAAGGCGGCCUGCUGGGCCGAUCCUGACGCUGAGGCGCGAAGGCGUGGGGAGCGAACGGG